This 478-nucleotide ribosomal RNA is filed under the name uncultured bacterium. RNAcentral's name for it is "bacterial SSU rRNA". It matches the Rfam family "Bacterial small subunit ribosomal RNA", at positions 43 to 507 of the family's 1533-position model. The record is from RNAcentral.
CAUGCCUUACACAUGCAAGUCGAACGGCAGCCAUGGAGGAGCUUGCUCCUCUGAUGGCGAGUGGCGAACGGGUGAGUAAAGCAUCGGAACGUACCGUGUAAGUGGGGGAUAACGUAGCGAAAGUUACGCUAAUACCGCAUACGCACUGAGGUGGAAAGCAGGGGAUCGCAAGACCUUGCGCUAUACGAGCGGCCGAUGUCAGAUUAGCUAGUUGGUAGGGUAAAGGCCUACCAAGGCGACGAUCUGUAGCGGGUCUGAGAGGAUGAUCCGCCACACUGGGACUGAGACACGGCCCAGACUCCUACGGGAGGCAGCAGUGGGGAAUUUUGGACCAAUGGGGGAAACCCUGAUCCAGCCAUGCCGCGUGAGUGAAGAAGACCUUCGGGUUGUAAAGCUCUUUCGGCUGGGAAGAAAUCGCACAGGCUAAUACUCUGUGUGGAUGACGGUACCAGCAUAAGAAGCACCGGCUAACUACGUG